AGUUGAUGAACUUGUUACACCAGACCAAGUUGGGGGAAUCCACUGCUCAAACUCCUCCUCCCAUAUAUGCUGCAAACUUUGCUGGUACUAUGUUACCUGGAUUAUAGAUUCAGGUGCCUCUAAUCACAUGACACAUGAUAAACAACUACUUUUUAACAUUAUACCUUUAACUCUGCCAUAUCUUGGCACUCUUCCAAAUGGCUAUAAAGUGAAAGUGACUUGCACUGGCUCCUUUGCCUUGACAUCUUCCAUCACUCUUCACAAUGUACUACUAGUUCCUUCUUUUAAACACAACUUGAUUUCUGUUCACAAGUUAGUGAAGCAGUUGCAUUGUAUAGUUAUGUUCUUCUUUUAAACACAACUUGAUUUCUGUUCACAAGUUAGUGAAGCAGUUGCAUUGUAUAGUUCUGUUCACUGAACAUUCCUGCUUCCUACACAUGAUACAGGACCCCUCUCUGAGGAGGCCAUUGGAUCUUGGUAGAGAAGCUGCUGGCCUGUAUAAACUAGCUUGGGUUCCCUCUUCCCCUUCUCCCUCUGUUAAUUGUUUUUCUACUUCUGUUUCUCAUGAGUAUGCUUCUUGUAAUGAUAACAAAGUUGUUGCAUUGCCUUCUGUG
This 614-nucleotide long non-coding RNA is filed under the name Nicotiana benthamiana. RNAcentral's name for it is "long non-coding RNA (NBEN_LNC036439)". Lineage: Eukaryota; Viridiplantae; Streptophyta; Magnoliopsida; Solanales; Solanaceae. The record is from RNAcentral.